AACGAACGCUGGCGGCAGGCUUAACACAUGCAAGUCGAACGCCCCGCAAGGGGAGUGGCAGACGGGUGAGUAACGCGUGGGAACAUACCUCUCGGUACGGAAUAGCUCAGGGAAACUUGAAUUAAUACCGUAUACGCCGUAUUGGGAAAGAUUUAUCGCCGAGAGAUUGGCCCGCGUUAGAUUAGCUAGUUGGUGGGGUAAUGGCCUACCAAGGCUACGUUCUAUAGCUGAUCUGAGAGGAUGAUCAGCCACGCUGGGACUGAGACACGGCCCAGACUCCUACGGGAGGCAGCAGUGGGGAAUCUUGGACAAUGGGCGCAAGCCUGAUCCAGCCAUGCCGCGUGAAUGACGAAGGCCUUAGGGUUGUAAAGUUCUUUCACCGGGGAAGAUAAUGACGGUACCCGGAGAAGAAGCCCCGGCUAACUUCGUGCCAGCCGCCGCGGUAA
Molecule: ribosomal RNA, 446 nt
Filed under: uncultured bacterium
Lineage: Bacteria
Description: partial 16S ribosomal RNA
Rfam family: Bacterial small subunit ribosomal RNA
Source: RNAcentral